Molecule: ribosomal RNA, 254 nt
Filed under: uncultured bacterium
Lineage: Bacteria
Description: partial 16S ribosomal RNA
Rfam family: Bacterial small subunit ribosomal RNA
Source: RNAcentral
CACGUAGGGUGCGAGCGUUGUCCGGAAUUAUUGGGCGUAAAGAGCUCGUAGGCGGUGUGUCGCGUCGGCCGUGAAAACCUGCAGCUUAACUGUGGGCUUGCGGUCGAUACGGGCAUCACUGGAGUUCGGCAGGGGAGACUGGAAUUCCUGGUGUAGCGGUGAAAUGCGCAGAUAUCAGGAGGAACACCGAUGGCGAAGGCAGUUCGCUGGGCCGUAACUGACGCUGAGGAGCGAAAGCGUGGGGAGCGAACAGG